This 27-nucleotide non-coding RNA is filed under the name Mus musculus (house mouse). Lineage: Eukaryota; Metazoa; Chordata; Mammalia; Rodentia; Muridae. The record is from RNAcentral.
UAGCCGCUUGGGUUUUAGUUAACUCCG